This 1251-nucleotide long non-coding RNA is filed under the name Homo sapiens (human). RNAcentral's name for it is "HSALNT0211416". The record is from RNAcentral. Lineage: Eukaryota; Metazoa; Chordata; Mammalia; Primates; Hominidae.
GGCCGUUGAGUUCAGCUUAUGGUGAUGGAAAGAGAGAUGUCAAUAAUUCCACAUUUUCUGGCUUGCAUUGUUUGAUGAAAGGUGACCCCAUUCCCUGAGUUAAAGAAUGCUGAAAGAAGACCAGGCUUGAGGAGGAAGGAUCAUGCAUUUGCUUUUGGACCUGUAGAGUUUGAGGAGAAGAUUGUUACAUUCAGGGCUGUGACUUAAAAAUAACUAUUAAGGCUCGGCGAGGUGGCUCACGCUUGUAAGCAGAGCUGAAGAAGCAGUGCAAGUCCAUUUGAAGACCUCUGGAAGGAAACCCCCAGCGGCUCUUUUUUCACUGAACAAGCAUUGUGGGAAUUUGGGGCUCGGCUGUGUAAUUUGUCCUCUUCUCAUUCAUUCAGGACAUGUUCAGCACCAGGAGGAAUUUGCAUCCAAGUCCGUCUCCCUGCUAAGUGGUAUUUUGAGAAUUCCGAAGCUUAGUCUCAGAGAAGAGCUGACCUGAACUUGCCGAGGCUCCCACUGCAUUGUAGCUUUUCUCUGGAGAACAAAAACUGCCAUUGUCCAGCAGCUCAUUAGCAUGACUGUACAGCCUCCGGAGUUAGCAAGGUGAUGCAAAAAUAAUAUGACAAGAUCCAUGUCUUCAAUGAGCUACAAUCCUACUGGGACAUGAGACUGUGCUUAUAAUAUGAUGAAAGAAUAAGAAAAUUUUAAAGGUAUAACAGGCAGAGCACAAGAACAAGCAGAGCUAUAACAAGCAGAGCACAAGAAGGAAGAGUGCAGAUCCAGGACUGGGACACUUAACCAAUAAUAAUACAAAUAGUGAAAACACAGCAGCAACAGGUGCCAUUUUGGAAGCAAGAAGCAGAGAACAAGCUCUCACUGGGCAUUAAAUCUGCCGGCAUCUUGAUCUUGAACUUCUCAACCUCCAGAACUCUGAGAAAUAAAUUUCUAUUAUUUACAAAUUACCCCAGGAAGUUGAAAAGGGAAAAUGGAAAAGAAGAACAAAUUGGGACCUGAAUGGUGCCUAUGAGGAUGAACUGGAACCCGUGUUGGUCUGGAAGGACGCAGACAUUUGUAGCUGCUUCUAGAAGACACUGAGUGGACCCUUUGGGAAGUCACUCUCUGGAGGUGGUGCUGAGAAUGUAAAUGAAGCUUUCCGGCUCCUGGGAAGUUAUAGACUUGUUCUUGGAGGCAAGAGAAGCCACAGACUGGAGCAGCUGAAAAUUUCCCAAGUGAUAGACUGGGGCAAGGGACAGGCAAGGUGGAAGG